AGCACUUCGUUAUCUACUUUUGCAGGAAAGAUACUGUUGAUAUAUGUGUAUUAUACUUGGUAUGAGGUACUUUGCAUCGUAGGAGAGAAGACAAAGACAUCGCUCCCCAGGACUCUGAGCAACUUGUUCCUAUUAAUGCAACCAAGGUCUUGUCAGAAUUCAUUACACUCAGUCCAGAAUUAAUAAUUUUAUUAAUUACAUGUUAAGCAAGCCAAGUACUUGUUUGUUUUGCUGAUUUCUUAUUAUAAGCUGAUUACAGACCAUUAAUGAUCAUUAUAUACUAAAUUAGGUUUCACAUCUCCUGCAGCAUAUACUGGAAAUAAGCAGUGAACACUUUGGGAGGAGUGGCUAUAAAGGAUGUCUGUUGCAAAGCUUUGGAAGCACAAGGAAAAAAAAAACUCAGAAAACAAACAAAGAAAAACCAACCCAUACAUCUUACUGCUAAGUCCUGUAGUCAUACCUCCUGCCCCAUGCCCUGCUUUCACAUCAUGGGUGAAAAGGUAUUCAAGUUUCGUUUCAAACAGAAUGUCCUCUACAGUUAAUCAAUACAUAAAACCUGUGAAGACAUCGCUGCUGCUCCUGCCUGAACAUGCUGGAGCCCUCUUUAAAGAAUGAGCUGAGUACAUGCGCCAAGAAUGCUUUUUGGUUUUGUGGUUUUUAUCUGAUCUCUGGGAGAGGUUAAAAGCCUAAAUAUACAAUGUGC
This 703-nucleotide long non-coding RNA is filed under the name Mus spicilegus (steppe mouse). Its description in RNAcentral is "lncRNA (ENSMSIG00000001807.1)". Lineage: Eukaryota; Metazoa; Chordata; Mammalia; Rodentia; Muridae. The record is from RNAcentral.